RNAcentral lists this ribosomal RNA (433 nucleotides) under uncultured bacterium. RNAcentral's name for it is "partial 16S ribosomal RNA". It matches the Rfam family "Bacterial small subunit ribosomal RNA", at positions 29 to 507 of the family's 1533-position model. The record is from RNAcentral.
AACGAGCGCUGGCGGCAGGCCUAACACAUGCAAGUCGAGCGAGGACUUCGGUCCUAGCGGCGGACGGGUGAGUAACGCGUGGGAACGUGCCCUUUGCUUCGGAAUAGCCCUGGGAAACUGGGAGUAAUACCGGAUGAGCCCUUUGGGGGAAAGAUUUAUCGGCGAAGGAUCGGCCCGCGUUGGAUUAGGUAGUUGGUGGGGUAAUGGCCUACCAAGCCGACGAUCCAUAGCUGGUUUGAGAGGAUGAUCAGCCACACUGGGACUGAGACACGGCCCAGACUCCUACGGGAAGCAGCAGUGGGGAAUCUUAGACAAUGGGGGAAACCCUGAUCUAGCCAUGCCGCGUGAGCGAUGAAGGCCUUAGGGUUGUAAAGCUCUUUCAGCUGGGAAGAUAAUGACGGUACCAGCAGAAGAAGCCCCGGCUAACUCCGUG